CCUACGGGAGGCAGCAGUGGGGAAUAUUGGACAAUGGGCGAAAGCCUGAUCCAGCCAUGCCGCGUGUGUGAAGAAGGCCUUCGGGUUGUAAAGCACUUUCAGUGGGGAAGAAAGCCUUGGGGCUAAUGCCCUCGAGGAAGGACAUCACCCACAGAAGAAGCACCGGCUAACUCCGUGCCAGCAGCCGCGGUAAUACGGAGGGUGCGAGCGUUAAUCGGAAUUACUGGGCGUAAAGCGCGCGUAGGCGGUCUGAUAAGCCGGUUGUGAAAGCCCCGGGCUCAACCUGGGAACGGCAUCCGGAACUGUCAGGAUAGAGUGCAGGAGAGGAAGGUAGAAUUCCCGGUGUAGCGGUGAAAUGCGUAGAGAUCGGGAGGAAUACCAGUGGCGAAGGCGGCCUUCUGGACUGACACUGACGCUGAGGUGCGAAAGCGUGGGUAGCAAACAGGAUUAGAUACCCGAGUAGUC
RNAcentral lists this ribosomal RNA (465 nucleotides) under Vreelandella stevensii. RNAcentral's name for it is "partial 16S ribosomal RNA". It matches the Rfam family "Bacterial small subunit ribosomal RNA", at positions 338 to 795 of the family's 1533-position model. Lineage: Bacteria; Pseudomonadati; Pseudomonadota; Gammaproteobacteria; Oceanospirillales; Halomonadaceae. The record is from RNAcentral.